Coregonus clupeaformis (lake whitefish) is the source of this 183-nucleotide small nuclear RNA. RefSeq annotates it as U2 spliceosomal RNA. The record is from RefSeq and is a predicted model, not a curated record. The transcript has a single exon. Lineage: Eukaryota; Metazoa; Chordata; Actinopteri; Salmoniformes; Salmonidae.
AUAUAUUUUUCCAAAAAAAAAAAAAAAAAAAAUGUUCUUAUCAGUUUAAUAUCUGAUACGUCCCCUAUCUGGGGACCAUAUAUUAAAUUGAUUUUUGGAAGAGGGAGAUGGAAUAGGGGCUUGCUCCGUCCACUCCACGCAUCGACCUGGUAUUGCAGUACCUCCAGGAACGGUGCACCCCUG